Sinocyclocheilus anshuiensis is the source of this 99-nucleotide long non-coding RNA. RefSeq lists it as uncharacterized. The record is from RefSeq and is a predicted model, not a curated record. Lineage: Eukaryota; Metazoa; Chordata; Actinopteri; Cypriniformes; Cyprinidae. The transcript has 3 exons.
AUUUUAUUACUUAUUUUUUUUUUUAAAUCAUUGUUUACUAGUAUGAAGCCUUAUUAACAAGCCUUUGUAAAAAGAACAGUUAGCUCAUUUGUUUCUAAG